Molecule: unclassified non-coding RNA, 434 nt
Filed under: Hevea brasiliensis (rubber tree)
Lineage: Eukaryota; Viridiplantae; Streptophyta; Magnoliopsida; Malpighiales; Euphorbiaceae
Source: RNAcentral
AAGAAAAAGAAAUCGAACAGACAUAAAUAAAAAUAAACAUCACUAAAACUAAAGUUUGUAGGCAACAAAAAACAAUCAGCUUACUGGUCUUUUCCCACACCAAGGAUCCACUGUGCAAGAUGAGUCAAGUAUGGUUCUGCUCGAGAGCCACUGCUUAAUAUCGGUCCCAGGCUGUGAAGCUCAAAAGAAAAUUCCUUCUCAAAUUUCAGAACGGAUUCUAAUACUGUGACGUUUUCAGGAGCUAGUCUCAGCAUCUGAUAUGGGGUCCUUAGUUUCAAGUUCUUAUAUUUUUCUAUACUGGGAGAAUCAUUAGACAAUGUGUCAUUGUCGGUAGUAUCCAACGAGGAGGUAAUCAGCCGUUGCAUUGCAGCUGCGUAUUGCAGACAUAUUAAUUUCAACCUCUCCACCUUCUUAAGAAGGGCUGGUGAUAGAAG